UACAGAGGUCUCAAGCGUUGGUCGGAUUCAUUGGGCGUAAAGGGUGCGUAGGCGGCGCGGUAAGUCGGGUGUGAAAUCUUGGAGCUUAACUCCGAAACUGCAUUCGAUACUGCCGUGCUUGAGGACUGGAGAGGAGACUGGAAUUUACGGUGUAGCGGUGAAAUGCGUAGAUAUCGUAAGGAAGACCAGUGGCGAAGGCGGGUCUCUGGACAGUUCCUGACGCUGAGGCACGAAGGUCAGGGGAGCAAACGGG
Molecule: ribosomal RNA, 253 nt
Filed under: uncultured bacterium
Lineage: Bacteria
Description: partial 16S ribosomal RNA
Rfam family: Bacterial small subunit ribosomal RNA
Source: RNAcentral